RNAcentral lists this ribosomal RNA (388 nucleotides) under uncultured bacterium. RNAcentral describes it as "bacterial SSU rRNA". It matches the Rfam family "Bacterial small subunit ribosomal RNA", at positions 28 to 417 of the family's 1533-position model. The record is from RNAcentral.
GACGAACGCUGGCGGCGUGCUUAACACAUGCAAGUCGAGCGGUAAGGCCCUUUCGGGGGUACACGAGCGGCGAACGGGUGAGUAACACGUGGGUGACCUGCCCUUAGCUCUGGGAUAAGCCUGGGAAACUGGGUCUAAUACCGGAUAUGACUCCAUGACGCAUGUUGUGGGGUGGAAAGCCUUGUGCGGCUAGGGAUGGGCCCGCGGCCUAUCAGCUUGUUGGUGGGGUGAUGGCCUACCAAGGCGACGACGGGUAGCCGGCCUGAGAGGGCGACCGGCCACACUGGGACUGAGACACGGCCCAGACUCCUACGGGAGGCAGCAGUGGGGAAUCUUGCGCAAUGGGCGAAAGCCCUGACGCAGCGACGCCGCGUGGGGAUGACGGCCU